GUCUGAGGUUCCUGGAGAACAGCUGGUAUGGUUAUGAUCUCUGCCCUGCUACCUGGAACUACAUCUUCAGCCUGGAUCUUCUGUGUGCACAACUGGGCUGGACUUGGACCAUUACCAAUAUUAUACGGGGUGCUGUAGUCAUGGCUGACCCAGUGCUCUGCCCCCGGCUUUCUAUCAUCACUGGGGAAGGAUCUUUGGCUGAUCCUGAACACUUGGCUGAGGCAAGCAAGAACAGAGCAAACACCGUUCCGAGACGUCUGUGUAGCAGCAGUUUUCAGGCUACUUGGGCGACUUGGUCAACUAGGACUUAAGGAGAACAUGCUAACGUC
Molecule: long non-coding RNA, 329 nt
Organism: Silurus meridionalis
Lineage: Eukaryota; Metazoa; Chordata; Actinopteri; Siluriformes; Siluridae
Exons: 4
Source: RefSeq, a predicted model, not a curated record